Molecule: ribosomal RNA, 830 nt
Filed under: uncultured Acidobacteriaceae bacterium
Lineage: Bacteria; Pseudomonadati; Acidobacteriota; Terriglobia; Terriglobales; Acidobacteriaceae
Description: bacterial SSU rRNA
Rfam family: Bacterial small subunit ribosomal RNA
Source: RNAcentral
CAAGUCGAACGAGAAAGGGUAGCAAUACCUGAGUAAAGUGGCGCACGGGUGAGUAACACGUGACUAACCUACCCUGGAGUGGGGGAUAACUGAGGGAAACCUUAGCUAAUACCGCAUAACACCUACGGGUCAAAGGAGCAAUUCGCUUCAGGAGGGGGUCGCGGCCGAUUAGUUAGUUGGCGGGGUAAUGGCCCACCAAGACGAUGAUCGGUAUCCGGCCUGAGAGGGCGCACGGACACACUGGAACUGAAACACGGUCCAGACUCCUACGGGAGGCAGCAGUGGGGAAUUUUGCGCAAUGGGGGAAACCCUGACGCAGCAACGCCGCGUGGAGGAUGAAGUCCUUCGGGACGUAAACUCCUUUCGAUCGGGACGAUUAUGACGGUACCGAGAGAAGAAGCCCCGGCUAACUUCGUGCCAGCAGCCGCGGUAAUACGAGGGGGGCGAGCGUUGUUCGGAAUUAUUGGGCGUAAAGGGUGCGUAGGCGGUUUGGUAAGUCUUAUGUGAAAUCUACAGGCUCAACUUGUAGUCUGCAUGAGAAACUGCCGGGCUUGAGUAUGGGAGAGGUGAGUGGAAUUCCUGGUGUAGCGGUGAAAUGCGUAGAUAUCAGGAGGAACACCUGUGGCGAAAGCGGCUCACUGGACCAUAACUGACGCUGAUGCACGAAAGCUAGGGGAGCAAACAGGAUUAGAUACCCUGGUAGUCCUAGCCCUAAACGAUGACUGCUUGGUGUGACGGGUACCCAAUCCCGCCGUGCCGUAGCUAACGCGUUAAGCAGUCCGCCUGGGGAGUACGGUCGCAAGGCUGAAACUCAAAGGAAUUGACGGGGG